CUCAGGCCUUAAGAAUUCCUGCCUUCCCCCUCAGUCUGACCCUCGCUGUGCCCGUCUGGGUCAUGACAAUGCCCACUGGUUAUACAGGGGGGAAAAAAGGAGAGUCCAGUUUGCUGGUUUGCUUGGCCGGCCAGGCUCUGGGAAUGCGAGCCUUGCCCGCCCCUCCUCCGCGGGCUGUCUCCACUAGCUUCUCACCCCCUUGCUGCACGCCUGUCCCUUCGGGCUGCUCCGGCGCCACCUAUACAGUCCCCAGCCCGCCUCGCCAACCCCGCGGAAGAGCGGCGUGACUCACAGCGCUGCCACCAGCCCACGGUUUGCUGGAGGCAGGCGAAGGGUAUAAAGACUGCCCUGCGGGAGGGGACCCAACCCUGCCCUGCCUAGCCCGAGGCUCACAGACAUGGCCCCAGGCGCCGAGCAAGGACACCGGGCAGCAGGCUGGGGACUGCGUGGCGCCCUGGCAGCGGUGGCAUUGCUCUCUGUGCUCAAUGCGGCAGGAACGGUGUUCGCGCUGUGCCAGUGGCGCGGCCUGAGCGCUGCGCUGCGGAAGCUGGAGGAGCAGCGCGGCCAGGAGCAACGCGAGGACAGUGCCCUGCGUGCCUUCUUGGCGGAGUUGAGCCGCGCGCCGCGCCGUGCGCCAGCGCCACCCCCGGACCCCGCGAGCGCGGCGCGCAACAAGCGCAGCCAUCGUGGGGAGCCAGCACAGCACAUCCGCACAGAAAGCCAGGACAUGCUGAUGAUGAUGACUUACUCCAUGGUGCCGGUAGGCGGGGGCUCGUCUCCCGGUGGCGCCCCCGCCGGGCAGAACCUCGGGAGGUGUGGGGAAAAGGGAGGCGAAGUGCUGUGGGG
This 846-nucleotide long non-coding RNA is filed under the name Marmota monax (woodchuck). Lineage: Eukaryota; Metazoa; Chordata; Mammalia; Rodentia; Sciuridae. The record is from RNAcentral.